CUUGUUUUGUACUUUGUACUGAAAAGUUGUUUUCAUCAUGUUAGAAAAAGAGUCAAAUAUCAAAUGUGUUUAGUUUCAAAAUCAAAUUCGCUUUUUUCCUGGAACUGAAAUAUGAGGUGCAGAGAAAUGUGAGGGAAUAUUCAGUGCGCGUGGAAUAGCACCGUUUAUGUAUUUCUUUACAUAUUUAUAUUGUGCUUUUAAAAGCACAAACACUGGAUGCAAGAGAGCAUUUUAGGAUAUUUUAGAAAGUUCAAAAAUCCCACACUUCUUUUUCAGUCAGUUCCGAUCUGCAGUUUGAUCAAUUAAAUUAAUGCCUAAAAAAAUCAAGGCAAUAAACUGCGUGGAAAAUCAGGGCCAAAUGACGAUCAGCCAGCGGCGACUCUUGAUCUACUGACCUCGCGCUGCCUUCAGCCCUCGCGGUCGAUCAAAGGUGCACUUGGGACUUGCUGACGCCCCCUCGGGGGACACGGCGGGGGUCCGCAGCGCGUCCCGUCAGUCCCGCUUGUCGCCCAGAGCCGAGCCGAGCCGAGCCGAGACGAGAGGAAGAUCACGAUCAUCAUGUCGCAUCAUCAUCAUCAUGUGCUGCUGGUGCUGCUGUUCGCCUGCGGAGCUCAGCUGAUCGCCAUCCAGGCGCAGCAGAGUUACGACACUCGCCCCCCCCUCUUUAAGGACAUCAUAAAUCAUGCGAUUAGACACGCGAACGAAAAGGCGAGAUUCCACUUGAAUUUUUUCGGUGUCCUGAAAUCUGAGGCUGCUGAGGAAGAGCGGAAAGAGAAAUGUAACAUUACAGAAAUGUUUGGAAGUAAACAUCUGUUGAGUCUUAAAACCACAGAAGAAGAUGCCUUUGAAUGUCUUGGCUGCUUCUGAGAGGAAAAAGGCAUUUCAUCAUAAUAUCCAGACAUAGAACUUGGGGGGGAAAAAAAAAACAGGAGUCUGCUUACAGCACAAUAUAACUUAAUGACUCAUAGUGGAAUUAAAUAAAUCAAUGCAGCUAGGUGUUGCA
RNAcentral lists this long non-coding RNA (1003 nucleotides) under Scleropages formosus (Asian bonytongue). RNAcentral describes it as "lncRNA (ENSSFOG00015032018.1)". The record is from RNAcentral. Lineage: Eukaryota; Metazoa; Chordata; Actinopteri; Osteoglossiformes; Osteoglossidae.